GAUGAACGCUGGCGGCGUGCCUAAUACAUGCAAGUCGAACGAGGUGCUUGAGUAGCAAUACGAGAGUAUCCUAGUGGCGAACGGGUGAGUAACGCGUUGGUGACCUACCCAAAGUGUGGGAUAACAGUCCGAAAGGAUUGCUAAUACCGCAUGUGGUCUUCGGAUUUAGAAACUGAUGACUAAAGCAGCAAUGCGCUUUGGGAGGGACCUGCGUCCCAUCAGCUAGUUGGCGAGGUAACGGCUCACCAAGGCGACGACGGGUAGGGGACCUGAGAGGGUGGCCCCCCACAAUGGAACUGAAACACGGUCCAUACACCUACGGGUGGCAGCAGUAGGGAAUAUUGCUCAAUGGGCGAAAGCCUGAAGCAGCAACGCCGCGUGUGCGAUGAAGG
Molecule: ribosomal RNA, 392 nt
Filed under: uncultured bacterium
Lineage: Bacteria
Description: bacterial SSU rRNA
Rfam family: Bacterial small subunit ribosomal RNA
Source: RNAcentral